CCUCGGAUCAGGUAGGAAUACCCGCUGAACUUAAGCAUAUCAAUAAGCGGAGAA
Molecule: ribosomal RNA, 54 nt
Filed under: Fusarium oxysporum
Lineage: Eukaryota; Fungi; Ascomycota; Sordariomycetes; Hypocreales; Nectriaceae
Description: partial 28S ribosomal RNA
Source: RNAcentral